Molecule: non-coding RNA, 954 nt
Organism: Paramuricea clavata
Lineage: Eukaryota; Metazoa; Cnidaria; Anthozoa; Malacalcyonacea; Plexauridae
Source: the annotation of a GenBank genome assembly
UGACAAAGAAAAUCUGUAUUAUGGUUUUGAAAUACGGUGAAUCUAAAGGAAAACUAAUAUUUGUUGCUAUUUCAGUAUUUCCCUUUAAAUUAUGUAUCACUUUUGUCUUAACUUAACACAACUAUAUACUUGUUCAUAGUAAUAAUAACAAAAGUUGUGAUGGUAAUGAUUUCGUACUCAAUCUACCUACUAUCAUCUGAAGUUCUUCUGGUUCAUUAUAGUAAUACUUCACCAAUGUCUAUUAUAUGGCUUGUUUCCUCUUCAUCAUUAUCCACACGAUUCCUGGCUUGUAUUUGGUUGUUUUAUUUCUUCAUUACUGCAAGUGAUCCGCUUUAACUUGUAUCGCGCUGAGCUUUGCUGGAUGGUUUUUGCUCAGACUUUGUCUCCAUCUUUGAUGACAUCUUCGUGUUAAUUAGUCCGUAGGGAAUAAUAACGGUGUUGUGCGACUUAAGUUCCCUUGGGCAGGAAGGCACAUUGCCAACUUCAUUGGAAAAUAAUUCAAAGGUACAAUAUACACAUAGAACAAUUCAAAGGGAUGAACAGUAUGCAAAGACCGCAUACAUUCGCACAGCUUUUCAAUCACAUACAUGUUACAACCACAAACAUACACUAAUUGAAAGACCACAUUCACCUAUACAGACAUAGGACAAUUUUACAUUCACUUAUAUACAUUGCAGAGUUUACAUUCACCUAUCGAUAUUGGACAAUUUUACAUUCACCUACAUAUACAUUGGAGAGUUUACAUUCACGUACAGACAUUGGACAAUUUUACAUUCACCUACAGACAUUUGACAAUUUUACUUUCACCUACAGACAUUGAACAAUUUUACAUUCACGUACAGACAUUGGACAAUUUUGCAUUCACCAGAAAAACAUUGAACAAUUUCGCAUCAAAUACAUAAGAUGCAAAUGAAACAAUGCAUUUAUUGAGCACGUGUAGGCCACGAAAAUCAG